UGAAGGCUGCUGUAUCCUGUGCUACGCGCUCUCCUCUAUCUCUCUUCCAUUAUUGCCGUCGCCAGCUACCUCUCGUCUGCUCAUGGCUCCGCCACACCCUACCUCAGCUCCAACGAUGCGCGUGCGACGGAAGUGACGGCCGGAGCACUCGUCCUCUUCCACUCCGGCAGCCAAACCACCCGGAUCUGGCGUCAUCUUCCACUCCGGCGGCCAAAUCACCUCGAGCCUACACAACGCCGGAUCUACAGAGGACGCGGUCCUCGUCCAUGGAUCUGGCCAAGGGAAAUCAUCUUCUUCAUUGUAUCCGUCGGAUCCGUGUUGGGAUGGCAAAGCCGAUUUCUGAUGUCUUCCCCAUGUAGUCGCGGGAUUCCAUCAUCAUUGCCGAUUGCCAGUUGGGCCGCCGCGGUGAGAGCACACAGCUGUGCGGAGAUGUCGGCUUUGACGUUUGCUCAGAGGCCACCAGCGGUUGGACCAUAAGGAUUAGGAUAAACCGCCUUACGAGCAACAUUUGAAGAGGUCUGCUUUUGCAAGAUUUGUGGAGUGCAAAAGCACAACAUGUCUUGGUAGAAGAGAUUUUUUGAAGGAGCCAAGGAAAUUGCCAAAAUGUUUGAAUGUGGUGUUCCGAAAUGUGCGUUUGAAGCUAACUUUCUUUGGAUGGUUGUUGUUGUUAGCCAAAGAGUUUCCAACUCAGGAAAUCCUUAUUUAUGUGCCGUUUCAUGUAAUCGCGAACUGUGUAAUGUGACUUUACUAUUGGACAUGGACCAUUUUGUUGAAGACUAAUAUUUGGGUGAAAAUUUGUGUCUGUU
Long non-coding RNA from Triticum aestivum (bread wheat), 806 nucleotides. RefSeq lists it as uncharacterized. The record is from RefSeq and is a predicted model, not a curated record. NCBI's taxonomy places the organism in Eukaryota, Viridiplantae, Streptophyta, Magnoliopsida, Poales, Poaceae. The transcript is spliced from 3 exons.